GUAGGUUUUCCACCGGGAGAACAAUUUCUAGAUGCUAAAUUGAAAUGUAUUGUCCAGUGUCUUGCGAUGUCAUUCUUUCAUUAUUCAAGCCCUUGAACACAGAACAAGGAAACAAGGAUAUUUCAGAGUCCCAGUUUCACUGCCUUCGUGGACGCUGGAGCCACUGCCACCUUUACUAUGUGUGUGGUUAGGGUAUAGAUCAAACUACAAUUCAACAAUGGCAUUGUGUGGCGAUGAACACAUGACCAGCAAGGGGCCCUGCCCCCCUCCCAAUACUAUGGAUUUGUUCAUAAUAAACACAUGAACAAUGCAGCAUUUGCCUUGUUUUCUGCUCCAACCGGCCCUCCCCAACAUCCUAAUCCCACUAAUCCCGCCUCCGCCACUGCAGGCAUGCCGGCCUUUUCUUAAUUGCUAUACUUUUGAGGACGCAUCACUAAAAAAACUAAAAGAGGUUUCAUGGCAAUGAUGAAGUGCUACCAAAUUAUGUUCCAAGAAAAAUGAUUUCUGCUUCAACUUGACUACAUGCAUGUUGAAUUGUUGACCCGAUUUGACGGACUAUAUAAGUGCUCUUCUCCUUGGGAAUUUGAAAGCACGCCCCUUCUAAGCAUCGCACAAUAUAUAUGCUUAUAUAUGUGGUAGCAGUCAUUGGUACAAGCAUAUGUGCAUUAGACCAGAAAAAAGGUUUCAAACUCGCAGAGCAUAUUGAAGGUGGUACAAAUCAUUGCAGAGUGAAUUACAAGUAGCUAUAUGUGGAUUGGAAUUUACUGAAGCUUUGCAUAUUCAAAAUUUUAAGUUAAAUGAGACGUGCAUUGCACGUGCAAGGUUACUAGUGGUAGUAAAGGAGCAGGCGAACAAGACGGUAAGAAAGGGAUCCCACCCGGUGCUGAGCCCUCUCUCCAACCGUGUGAGCGAACGCAUGGGAAGUCAAAAAGCAUGCACCGUGCGUGCAUCAUCUGUGGUGGUUAAGAGAUGGACUGACACAUGCUCACACGUUGCUGCCUUUUCGCACUAUGACUGGUGGGCCGAGUUGGCUGCUGAUCCCACGGGUAUGUGCCUUGCCUUUGUUCUCGCUCGUGUAUCAUCUGGGGUUGGAGAGAGCCGGCUCGUGGGUCGUGCGUCGUGUCGUGCGCCAUGCCGGGUCCUGCGGCUGGGUGUGGGUGUUCGCUUUUGAUGCAGCGCUGAACAUGCAGCGAAGACAGUGUUCCCUCCCGUCCCAAGCCGUGCACCCCCUCCUUCCCUCUCUCCUCCUUUCUCCUCCCUAGCCACCGAUCUGCCUUCUCGUCUCGCUGCUUCGUCUCCUCCACCGCCUUGUCUCCGGCCGCUGGCCUCCCGGCAGCCCUACCUCACAACAUGUUUCUCGAGGAGCAACGCGAGCAAGGCCAGCAUACGAAAGGAGUGGAUCGAGGCUUCGCACGCUGGCUCCGUCAUCUGCUUCGCCACGUUCUGGAUUCGCGCCGCCGUGUGUGAUGGUUCUAGAUCAGUGCAGGUCAUCGCCGCGGGAUAUCAGGGGCGGUGGGUUCUUCACAUCGAGGGUUGGCAAGCUGGGGAGGGUCAAGAGGCUGACAUGGCAUGUUUAGAGCAGCGAGGUCGGCUGUAGGGGAGCGGCUACCCCGGAGCUUCAGACUGCGCACGCGUCGCGAGUUUGGCUAUGGGGGAGCGGUUGCCCGGAGCUCGGUUGCGCACGCCUCAUGGGAUCUGGUCUCACCUGGCACUCGAUGCCGGCCUCGUCGGCUUCCCGAGGUGACACAACGACGGUCACACUCGACACCCUCUUUCAUGAUUCGACGACAGCCGGCUCAUACGGCGGCCUCAGCGGGUAGCUGACGACGACUGCAGCUGGUGCACGAGCUCUCAGUCGACAUAUCCACACUCGACUCCUCGUCUCGGGUGCGGAGUGCGGACUGAGAGUUGGAUGCUCUGUGCUAGCAUAUAGAAGUGUUGCAACCACCACUGUUCCGGCUGUGAGAUUCUUAAUUCGGUGGUUCUUGAUUGCAACCUGGGGUCAUCCUGUUCCUACUCACAUGUUACAGUAGUGUUUUGUAUAAUAUACCCAACCUCUCGCUCCUGAAAAUUACCCGUCUUCUCUGAUGCACGCGGGUCACUGGAGGAGAGGGGGUCUGGCUUGUGAGUUUCGCCGAUGCGGUCACAACGGCGAUGCCAAACUCUGAGGAGAUACUAAAGGUGUAUUGGGAGGCGGUGCUUCCUGGAAUCCCAAUGCCUCCACCUAUUAUCAACCUGCUGUUAGCCCAGCAAAAUGGUAUCUCUCUCCUUCCCUCCCUCCCUCCCUUCCCACCUUGGUGACCUCAUUUAAGUGGUUUUGAUAAUUGGUGGUACAACUUUCCCUCUUUGAUACCUACAAAUUCUUUAUAACGACUCUUAGUUUGCAAUCCAUUAUGGAACAUAAAUGAACAUACUAGAUGUGAAUCUUUUGUUAUGAUGAAUGAUAAAUGUUUGACUUAAAGCAUAGACUAUCGCAUAUACAAUACAAUAUGUGUACCAUAAAGGAUAAAUUAACCUUUUCUCUACCGGUGAACUGAGAGCUUACAGUGGCUAAUUUGAUAAGAAGCAUAGUACUUGUAUCAUUCAGAAAAUGACCCUUUUGUACUUCAUUUUCAGGGAUAGUCCUAUUGUGCUUUGUUUUUAUAUGAUCUAAAACUACAGAGUUCUUGUGCAGUUCAGAUGUUCUGUUUUGUACGAAUUUUACUAUAUCUGAACUUCUGAAAUUAGUAUAAGUCUAACAGCCUUGCAACCAAACCAAAACUAAAACUGCAGGGAUCUUGUGACAGCCUUGCAACCAAAACUAGAACUACAGGGAUCUUGUGUAGUUGAAAGCUAGCUGUCGUUUGUUGGAAUAUCAAUUAUCUUGUUUGUGCACGAUUAACCUGCUUAUCAUGAAAAGGUAGAAUAUUUUAGGACAGACCAUCAAGUUGGUUGGGAUUUGUUUAGAUCUUUAUGAGAAGCAGCUCUUCUCAGUGGGACUUUUCUUUUUUAUCCAGCCUAAACAUAUUCAGCCUUUCACCUAAAAUGUUAUUACUUUCUCAUGUCCUACUUUUUGUUACACGAUGUUCAAGAAAGAAUUAUGGAUCAUUUUGUCAUGAAGCAUGAUCAGUGCCACCUCUUUCUUCUGUGUAGUGCUAGGCUAGAUUGGUAUUCUGUUUACUGCUCCAGUUGGAUUAUAUCUCAAACUUCUCUUGUUCCUAUGCUGAGAUUCUCCUAGCCAGUGGCAAGGGUACAUACUGCCUCAUCUUCUUUUUUCCUUUACAUUUUUCUUCGAUUGGAAGGAGUGGAUUACUGCCACCAAGUUCUUGGAUAAAAUGAAGAAAGAUAUGUAUGACGUCAUGUCAGUUAUUUUGUUUUACAACAAAAUGGAUAGUUCAUGUAUUCCCUACCGAGCAAGAUUUAUGUUGAGGUGUGGCAUCUAUUUUGCAUUUCUUGAUUAUGGAUUUUUGAUAAUGCGAAGUUUUUAUUCGGAA
This is a long non-coding RNA of Triticum aestivum (bread wheat), 3473 nucleotides long. RefSeq lists it as uncharacterized. The transcript has 8 exons. Lineage: Eukaryota; Viridiplantae; Streptophyta; Magnoliopsida; Poales; Poaceae. The record is from RefSeq and is a predicted model, not a curated record.